GAUGAAAUGGCUGAGUGGUUAAGCACCAAUUUGCUAAAUUGAAGGAAUAAAAAAUUCCAUAGGGGUUCAAAUCCCCUUUUCAUCC
Molecule: transfer RNA, 85 nt
Filed under: Ectyoplasia ferox (brown encrusting octopus sponge)
Lineage: Eukaryota; Metazoa; Porifera; Demospongiae; Axinellida; Raspailiidae
Description: tRNA-Ser
Rfam family: tRNA
About the family: Transfer RNA (tRNA) molecules are approximately 80 nucleotides in length. Their secondary structure includes four short double-helical elements and three loops (D, anti-codon, and T loops). Further hydrogen bonds mediate the characteristic L-shaped molecular structure. tRNAs have two regions of fundamental functional importance: the anti-codon, which is responsible for specific mRNA codon recognition, and the 3' end, to which the tRNAs corresponding amino acid is attached (by aminoacyl-tRNA synthetases). tRNAs cope with the degeneracy of the genetic code in two manners: having more than one tRNA (with a specific anti-codon) for a particular amino acid; and 'wobble' base-pairing, i.e. permitting non-standard base-pairing at the 3rd anti-codon position.
Source: RNAcentral